This 353-nucleotide ribosomal RNA is filed under the name uncultured bacterium. Its description in RNAcentral is "bacterial SSU rRNA". It matches the Rfam family "Bacterial small subunit ribosomal RNA", at positions 30 to 376 of the family's 1533-position model. The record is from RNAcentral.
AUUGAACGCUGGCGGCAGGCCUAACACAUGCAAGUCGAACGGUAACAGGAAGCAGCUUGCUGCUUCGCUGACGAGUGGCGGACGGGUGAGUAAUGUCUGGGAAGCUGCCUGAUGGAGGGGGAUAACUACUGGAAACGGUAGCUAAUACCGCAUAAUGUCGCAAGACCAAAAGAGGGGGGACCUUCGGGCCUCUUGCCAUCGGAUGUGCCCAGAUGGGAUUAGCUUGUUGGUGGGUAACGGCUCACCAAGGCGACGAUCCCUAGCUGGUCUGAGAGGAUGACCAGCCACACUGGAACUGAGACACGGUCCAGACUCCUACGGGAGGCAGCAGUGGGGAAUAUUGCGCAAUGGGC